AGUGACGUAGCCAAUCAAAAUCCGUGACGUUACGAAACUUUCGGUAAUCCAACAGAUUGACUCCGCCCCUCAGCAACAACAACAAAAAAAAUAAAAUACUCCGCCAUGUUGGUGGGGGAAGGCAGCUUGGAUUCUGCUUGUUUCUUUUAGCAGUCAUACGUCAACGCAGCCGCCAUAUUGAAGAGGAUAUCUUUAUUUGAGUUGUGAAAGCACUUUUUUAACGAUAUGGGCCGCACAAGAACUAAUCCAGCUCAGAACCAAGUGCUUUCUGGACCAGCAAAAUAGGGAAAGCUGAAGCAACCGACGGGUUUUUCUCUCCGCUGCUUCAUGGAAACUCAGGAGAGACGAUCAGAUUCACCUUCAGACCAAACUAGCAGCUUCCUCUCAGUGAGUCCAGCUGCAGGAGAGAAAAGUGGAAACCUCCAACUCUGCUGCUUCAAGCUGCUCACACUGGAGCUUCACUCAGAGACAAAAUGGCUUCCAGAUCAGAGGAGGAUCUCUGCUGUCCGGUCUGUCAGGACGUCUUUAUGGAUCCGGUUGUUCUGUCAUGUAGCCACAGCUUCUGUAAGGAAUGUCUGAAGAACUGGUGGAAAGAGAACCUGAAGCAACACUGUCUGGUUUGUAAGAAAAGGUCUCCCUACUCUCUCCCAACUGACCUGCUGUCAUCUACAGAAAUACAAUGCUCUGUCAAAAACAACCAAUCAGAGCCAGGAGGAGGGGCUUAUUGCUGUCAAUCACUCUUCUGUAUGCGCUGCUCACAACCUUCCCUUUUCUCUUUGCUGCACAGGCUGCCAUGAAUGCUCAGGCUAGUUAGCAUGGCCACCAAUCAUGACAGACAAACAGUUUUAGCACAUUAGCAUUGCAUACUUGAGGUUGAUUGACAGAGCUAAGACCCUCCUCCUGGCUCUGAUUGGUUGUUUUGCAUUUCUUCAGAUGGCAGCAGGUGCACAGAAAGGAGGAGGAGCAGCUCAAUCUUUUCACCGUUUCUCAUUUACACUGUCAGGACAUGGUGACAGUUUAAACAAAUGUGUAAAAAACAUAUUUCUGUUAAAGUUACAUGCUGUAGUUUAACCGUUUGUGGAUAAAUAAGACUGUUUAGUCUCUUAUUUAUCAUAUUUAGUUGCAACCUUUGGAUGAAUCUGCAUGUUUCCUCUCGUUGCUGCGACCAAAAUCCAACAGAAUAAACCCGAAAAGAGCAAAUCAGGAAAAUCUCAUAAAGAUAAAUAUGACUCUGACCGAACAGAAAAAUAAAACAAACGUUUUUAUUGAACAUCUGAA
Long non-coding RNA from Xiphophorus hellerii (green swordtail), 1278 nucleotides. RefSeq lists it as uncharacterized. The record is from RefSeq and is a predicted model, not a curated record. The transcript has 4 exons. NCBI's taxonomy places the organism in Eukaryota, Metazoa, Chordata, Actinopteri, Cyprinodontiformes, Poeciliidae.